RNAcentral lists this ribosomal RNA (651 nucleotides) under uncultured bacterium. RNAcentral describes it as "bacterial SSU rRNA". It matches the Rfam family "Bacterial small subunit ribosomal RNA", at positions 77 to 720 of the family's 1533-position model. The record is from RNAcentral.
AGCUUGCUUUCUUUGCUGACGAGUGGCGGACGGGUGAGUAAUGCUUGGGAAUCUGGCUUAUGGAGGGGGAUAACUACGGGAAACUGUAGCUAAUACCGCGUAAUAUCUUCGGAUUAAAGGGUGGGACUUUCGGGCCACCUGCCAUAAGAUGAGCCCAAGUGGGAUUAGGUAGUUGGUGGGGUAAAGGCCUACCAAGCCGACGAUCUCUAGCUGGUCUGAGAGGAUGACCAGCCACACUGGAACUGAGACACGGUCCAGACUCCUACGGGAGGCAGCAGUGGGGAAUAUUGCACAAUGGGGGGAACCCUGAUGCAGCCAUGCCGCGUGAAUGAAGAAGGCCUUCGGGUUGUAAAGUUCUUUCGGUGAUGAGGAAGGCGGUUGUUUUAAUAGAACAAUCGAUUGGCGUUAGUCACAGAAGAAGCACCGGCUAACCCCGUGCCAGCAGCCGCGGUAAUACGGAGGGUGCGAGCGUUAAUCGGAAUGACUGGGCGUAAAGGGCACGCAGGCGGUGACUUAAGUGAGAUGUGAAAGCCCCGAGCUUAACUUGGGAAUUGCAUUUCAUACUGGGUCGCUAGAGUAUUUUAGGGAGGGGUAGAAUUCCCCGUGUAGCGGUGAAAUGCGUAGAGAUGUGGAGGAAUACCGAAGGCGAAG